This 290-nucleotide ribosomal RNA is filed under the name uncultured bacterium. Its description in RNAcentral is "partial 16S ribosomal RNA". It matches the Rfam family "Bacterial small subunit ribosomal RNA", at positions 7 to 299 of the family's 1533-position model. The record is from RNAcentral.
GAGAGUUUGAUCCUGGCUCAUAUUGAACGCUGGCGGCAUGCCUAACACAUGCAAGUCGAACGAUGAUUAAGAGCUUGCUCUUAUGAUUACUGGCGGACGGGUGAGUAAUGUAUAGGGAUCUGCCUGUUAGUGGGGGACAACAGCCGGAAACGGCUGCUAAUACCGCAUACGCUCUACGGAGGAAAGUGGGGGACCCUCGGGCCUCACGCUAACAGAUGAACCUAUAUUGGAUUAGCUAGUUGGUAGGGUAAAGGCCUACCACGGCGACGAUCCAUAGCUGGUUUGAGAGA